AGUGAACGCUGGCGGUAGGCCUAACACAUGCAAGUCGAACGGCAGCACAGUAAGAGCUUGCUCUUACGGGUGGCGAGUGGCGGACGGGUGAGGAAUACAUCGGAAUCUACUUUUUCGUGGGGGAUAACGUAGGGAAACUUACGCUGAUACCGCAUACGACCUACGGGUGGAAGCAGGGGAUCUUCGGACCUUGCGCGAUUGAAUGAGCCGAUGUCGGAUUAGCUAGUUGGCGGGGUAAAGGCCCACCAAGGCGACGAUCCGUAGCUGGCCUGAGAGGAUGAUCAGCCACACUGGAACUGAGACACGGUCCAGACUCCUACGGGAGGCAGCAGUGGGGAAUAUUGGACAAUGGGCGCAAGCCUGAUCCAGCCAUACCGCGUGGGUGAAGAAGGCCUUCGGGUUGUAAAGCCCUUUUGUUGGGAAAGAAAAGCAGCAGGUUAAUACCCCGCUGUUCUGACGGUACCCAAAGAAUAAGCACCGGCUAACUUCGUG
RNAcentral lists this ribosomal RNA (492 nucleotides) under uncultured bacterium. RNAcentral's name for it is "partial 16S ribosomal RNA". It matches the Rfam family "Bacterial small subunit ribosomal RNA", at positions 29 to 507 of the family's 1533-position model. The record is from RNAcentral.